Molecule: ribosomal RNA, 451 nt
Filed under: uncultured bacterium
Lineage: Bacteria
Description: partial 16S ribosomal RNA
Rfam family: Bacterial small subunit ribosomal RNA
Source: RNAcentral
GUGGGGAAUAUUGGACAAUGGGGGGAACCCUGAUCCAGCCAUGCCGCGUGUGUGAAGAAGGCCUUUUGGUUGUAAAGCACUUUAAGCGAGGAGGAGGCUACCGAGAUUAAUACUCUUGGACAGUGGACGUUACUCGCAGAAUAAGCACCGGCUAACUCUGUGCCAGCAGCCGCGGUAAUACAGAGGGUGCGAGCGUUAAUCGGAUUUACUGGGCGUAAAGCGUGCGUAGGCGGCUUUUUAAGUCGGAUGUGAAAUCCCCGAGCUUAACUGGGGAAGUGCAUUCGAGACUGGGAAGAUAGAGUAUGGGAGAGGAUGGUAGAAUUCCAGGUGUAUCGGUUAAAUGCGUAGAGAUCUGGAGGAAUACCGAUGGCGAAGGCAGCCAUCUGGCCUAAUACUGACGCUGAGGUACGAAAGCAUGGGGAGCAAACAGGAUUAGAAACCCGAGUAGUCC